GGAGUUUUUAGCCUUUUAACAUUCAAGGAUUAGGUAAGUUCUCCCCGCGGUAGACUUCAAAUACUCUUUGUCCUGCCCCUGCUUGGCGAAAUUUACCGAAAUUAUCUACCUAUCCCGCUGGAGUGGGAGCCGGGGGAGAGCUGGAACCGCGUCUCUGCUGCUCACCUUUGUGUCCUUAGCUCCUUCGCAUGGGGUCCGACCGCAACACGUGCGCUGGAUAAACGCUUGUUAACUGGGUGAGAGCCAAGGCCUGUUCUUUCCACUUCUGGGGCUGUGACUUGAGUUUCUCCGCAGGAGCAGAUAGUGUUUGUGUAGGGACUGCGGACUUUUGCAUUACAGCCUCCCUGCUUUGCCCGCCUGCUGCUGGAAGCUUAGCAGAGCUCCCUCUUUGCCCACUAGCAGGGCAUUAGCUGGUGCUGAAGACAGUGGCUGCUUGGCGAGCCUGGAUCUCCAAGUGACCCCCUCAGCAACUCCUGAUGAACAGGACUGAAGCCAAUAUUAAAGCAAGUCAACCAAAGGUUCUCUGGUGUAGACAAGACAGCAAAAGGACAGACUACCUUGUGGAACCUAGCAUUGUUCUCCUUCUGCAGCACUAAGUAACAUUUGUUCUCCGUUAAGAUCUUUGCAAACCACACACAAGAAUUGCUGGUCAUCCUGCCAAUAGAUGCUGCUCACAGAACCAAAUUUCCUGUGCUGAAUUGUCACUCAUGGGCUUGAGAGUAGGAGACUGGAGACCAAGGUGGCUAGAAUCCAGUUGGGCCUGAUGUCUCCCUGUUGAAAGGGCUCCUUGUGGAAUGAAUAGCACAUGGCUCCUGUGGUGGAUCUGAUAGUGGCAUAGCACCAAGUGAUGCAGGCCUGCCAGGGGCCACAGACACAGAAGAUGCUCCCGGGGUCCCCCAUGUACUCCAGACACACUGCAGGCCACCUCUCCCAGCAGGUUGCCAGUCAUGGGCCCCAUCAUCAUGACUUCUGUCCAAGGUGUGCUCGGAAAUCUCUUCCUUAACUGUGACUUUCUGACAGGUGGAGGAUGUGGUCAGGAGUGGGAAAAGGAUUCGAGACGGGAAGAGGGAGGGGUUCAGGAUGAAGAGAGAUAAUCUGUGCCACAGAUGCUGGCCCUGCAGUUAGCUCCCACCUAGUCCGUGCACACACAUUCUAAUCCCCUCCCAUUCCUUUACAUGCUGCGGCCAGAGAGGCCUUUCUCAAAGUGGAAGUCUCAUCCUCACUUCUCUGGUUACAGUGCUGGGCCAUGGUAACUUACAAGGCUUAGCAGGAACUGUCUGCGCACUCCCCCUUCCUGCCCACUACCUUGUUUCCCUCCAGUUGCGAGAGAAAACAUUGAUUGAGCAUUAACUAUGUGCCAGGCUUGUCCUAAGUCCUUUGCAUGUAUUCACUCAAACAAUCCUCACAACAUUCCUAUCACAUCUCCCAUUUCACAGUGAGGGUUCUAAAGCACGUAGUGGGUGAGGAACUUGUCCAGGGUCACACAACUAAGUGGGGGUGGAGAAACAUCAAAUCUAGGUGGUCCAGGUGGUGGCCAGAACCCAUCAGCACCUCACUACAGCUGCCUCCAGUUUCUCGCUCUAGGAAAUACUCUUCCCUGUCAACUCCUGUUGUCCUCUGGGCUCAGUUGACAUGUCAUCUCCUUGAGGAGGACAUCCUGAGAUGCUCCCCGACUAGGGUGGGCACCCACUUCCACACUCCAAAUGCCUAUUUGACCUGUGUAUCGCUGCAUCCCCACUGCCUGGCAGAUAGCAGGCCCCUAAUAAAUAUGAUUUGAGCAAAUAAAUAUAGUUCUUCAAAAAAUAGGGAGGACUUCUUGCUUCAGGUAAUGGUAGGCUAGGACAUUUGGACCAACCCUCCUGCAGAAAAUAGCCAUUUAUUUUGAUGCAAUAUAUCUGGCUAUGACUAGAGAUUUCAAAUAUUUGGAGGGCUAUUAUGUGAAGAACUAAACUUACUCUUUGUGACAUAGAGGUCAGAAAUUGGUCGUUUCCAUAGAGUAUGAGAGAGACAGAAUUGUGCUCAUCAUAAGUAUCUUUUUUAAAAGUUAGACUUAAUAAAAUGGGCUGCCUUGGUAGGUGGUGAGUUCUCUGUCACGAAAGAGAUUCAGCCACUUGCUCUGAGAAAGCAUGGAGAAUAUCAACAUUGUAAGGGUCGACCACCUCAUCUCUGAGGCCCCCUCCUCACUUAGGUUGCCAUUGCAGGUGGAACACUGGGCUGAGUGUCAAAGAACCUGGGUUCCACAAGCUGUGCGACCAUGGCUGGUUGUUUUGGAUCUCAUUCCUAAUAUCUGUUAGUUAAGCUGACCCGUCAAUACUGACCCACUUCACAGAGUUAUGAAGGGAUUAAAUUAGGUAUUACAUGUAAAUCUGUUUUGUUUGCUUUUUGUUGUUCUUUUUUGUUUUGCUUUUUUCUUUGCAUUAUGAAAUCCCAAGUCAACUUUUUCCAUUCUUUUAUUUUUUUAAAAAUUGACAUCAUCAUUAUAACCACAAAAUAAUUUUUAAAAUGGAAAAAAAAAACUCACCUGCAACCCCACAAUCUAAUACAAUAAUCAUACUUUUUUCCCUUUAUUCUCCUUUAUUGUGACCAAGGAUGACUUUGGGCAUUGCUGUGAGGAACUAUUUCGUUUAACACCCUACUACCUGAACAUGAUGCGUACUCAGCCUUUCACCACCCCCCAAGUAGCUACACAUGAUGUGAUAAUAGUAUUGGUGGUGGUUUUAGAGAGUUGGAGAGAAAACUGAAGUUGGAUUUGGGUAAAAGAAAAAAGAGUGGGAAUUAUUUUUUCUCCAUUCUAAAGCCCAUAAAGCAAUGUUAAUUGUUCCCACCCCUCUGCUAUUCUGUCUCCUCAGGUACUGUGUGCAGAAAUGUGAUUGAGAUUCAAGUCAGGGCCUCUCUGCCCUUUUCCCUCCAGAAACAAAACCAAGAUAAUUUAUCCUGAACACGGUGAAAAAAGGAAGGGAGGGAGGAGAAAAAGUCCGGGUCUCACCUGGGAUUCUCUGUCUCCUGCAACAUGAAGGAUUUAGCCUGGGAGGAGGUGGUGAGAACUCUGGGAGAGAAAAAAGAAGGAAAGAAUAGUUUUACCCAUGCUGAAGUUAAUUUAAACCUUCACCUAGAGAAGCAAAAAAAAAAAACCCACACUUUCCCAUUUUGUGCCUCCCUUCCUAGAGUUUUAGCCAAAGGUUUAGCUAAGUAAUUGGUUUUACCAGCGCACUCACUCCUCCUAUCCCAAGUCUGUUUGACUCCCUCCCCAUCAUCCUCCUCACCUCUUUUCAGGCAGGGUGGGGAUAGCAGCAGGAGGAGAUUUUGGGAGCCUGGCAACUCCUGCAAGGACCGCAGGACAGCCCCUCUGUGGGGAUGCGUGGUGCCCCAUCUGCCGCCCUUCUGAAGAAUGCACUGCCUUCACUUUUUACUGUGUUAGAGUCCAUCCAGACUGUUCUAUCCAAAAAAGUUUCUUUUUCCCCCACAGGCAAUCAGGAAAUGAUUCCUUUCCCGACUGCUUCUGUCUAGUGCCUGGGAAUCUUGAGUCAAUCCCUCAGUAAGUCAGUGACUAGGGAAAUCCCUCUCUGAGCCUCCCAGUUCAUGUUGCUUAGGGAACCUGAUAUUUUCGUGAAACCUGCCUACACAUGGGCAGCCCAACAGCAGAACAAAUGGUGGUGACCAAAGUGAACAAAGAAGUAUAGUUGUGCCAGCUUCGUAGUUGCCCAUGUGGACAAGUCAGCAGGAUCAGGACACGAGGAAGAGUAAAUGUGAGACAGUCAAUGUGACUUCUGCGAUAAACAGAUUUUUAAACCCCGAAAUUUUGCAAAAUUUUGGUGAAACCUGAACUUUCUUCGUUGCAUAUACUGGCACUAUCUGUACCAUCAUACAACUGUCUCACAUUAAAGCUAUUUUUCUUGGGCACUGAUGAGUAAGGUUGGUAUAAGUUCCUCAGAUCAACAAAAACCCAUUUUCCUGUAAGUCUUACAUUUAGUAUUUAAGGAACUAAAACUUAAAUACAUUUUGUGAAAUGGUUGACACUUCACUGAUAAUGAUUUAUUGCUUGGAUUAAUAAAUUUUCCAAAAGUUGUCUUAUGUAGAAUAUGGUUUGCAACCAGCAGAACCAUUAAUCUAUACUGCAAUGAUAUGCACUAUGUAUAAUUGUUUAAAAGCCUCUACUUAAUGAUGUAAAAUGCUCUAUUUAAUUACACAUUUGGGUAAACUGUAUACUAACAUCUGAUGGCAUUUUUCCACUGUUUGUUGCUUUUUUCAAAUACUUUAUUGUACAAAGCUGUUCUUAAUAUUUUUCAAGUUUUUUUCUUUGAAUUUUGCUAAUGUUUUCCUUGAAUUAUGAGCACUGACAGAAUGUGCUUAGCACUUUUGGCUAUUCACACAGCUUUUGAGCAUGAUUUGCAUCCAAUAUUUACAUUGCUAGCAAUAAUAAGCCAUCUGUGAGUUUUGUCAAAA
Molecule: long non-coding RNA, 4443 nt
Filed under: Homo sapiens (human)
Lineage: Eukaryota; Metazoa; Chordata; Mammalia; Primates; Hominidae
Description: non-protein coding lnc-TRIM26-2:57
Source: RNAcentral